UAAAAACGCUGACAGAAAUGCUUAAAACACAUGCAAAGUCUAUGAGGAAAGUUUUAGCUUGCUAAAAUGGACUCAUGGCGGACGGGGUGAGUAACGCGUAAAGAACUUGUCCUUUAGACUGGGAUAACAGAGGGAAAACUUCUGAUAAUACUGGAUAAGUUAGUAUAUCGCAUGAUAUGCAAAUGAAAGCUACGGCACUAAAGGAGAGCUUUGCGUCCCUAUUAGCUAGUUGGUAAGGUAAGAGCUUACCAAGGCGAUGAUAGGUAGCCGGCCUGAGAGGGUGGACGGCCACAAGGGGACUGAGAUACGGCCCUUACUCCUACGGGAGGCAGCAGUGGGGAAUAUUGGACAAUGGAGGGAACUCUGAUCCAGCAAUUCUGUGUGUGUGAAGUAAGGUUUUAGGACUAGUAAAACUACUUUUAGUAGGGAAGAAAAAAUGACGGUACCUACAGAAGAAGUAACGGCUAAAUACGUGCCAGCAGCCGCGGUAAU
This 492-nucleotide ribosomal RNA is filed under the name uncultured Sneathia sp. Its description in RNAcentral is "bacterial SSU rRNA". It matches the Rfam family "Bacterial small subunit ribosomal RNA", at positions 32 to 524 of the family's 1533-position model. Lineage: Bacteria; Fusobacteriati; Fusobacteriota; Fusobacteriia; Fusobacteriales; Leptotrichiaceae. The record is from RNAcentral.